GAUGAACGCUGGCGGCGUUCCUAAUACAUGCAAGUCUAGCGAACGGACGAGAAGCUUGCUUCUCUGAUGUUAGCGUCGGACGGGUGAGUAACACGUUGAUAACCUACCUAUAAGACUGGGAUAACUUCGGGAAACCGGCGCUAAUACCGGAUAAUAUUUUUAACCUCAUGGUUCAACAGUGAAAGACGGUCUUGCUGUCACUUAUAGAUGGAUCCGCGCUGCAUUAGCUAGUUGGUAAGGUAACGGCUUACCAAGGCAACGAUGCAUAGCCGACCUGAGAGGGUGAUCGGCCACACUGGAACUGAGACACGGUCCAGACUCCUACGGGAGGCAGCAGUAGGGAAUCUUCCGCAAUGGGCGAAAGCCUGACGGAGCAACGCCGCGUGAGUGAUGAAGGUCUUCGGAUCGUAAAACUCUGUUAUUAGGGAAGAACAUAUGUGUAAGUAACUGUGCACAUCUUGACGGUACCUAAUCAGAAAGCCACGGCUAACUACGUG
This 497-nucleotide ribosomal RNA is filed under the name uncultured bacterium. RNAcentral's name for it is "partial 16S ribosomal RNA". It matches the Rfam family "Bacterial small subunit ribosomal RNA", at positions 28 to 507 of the family's 1533-position model. The record is from RNAcentral.